RNAcentral lists this ribosomal RNA (449 nucleotides) under uncultured bacterium. Its description in RNAcentral is "partial 16S ribosomal RNA". It matches the Rfam family "Bacterial small subunit ribosomal RNA", at positions 29 to 523 of the family's 1533-position model. The record is from RNAcentral.
AACGAACGCUGGCGGCAGGCCUAACACAUGCAAGUCGAACGGGAUCUUCGGAUCUAGUGGCGGACGGGUGGGUAACGCGUGGGAACGUGCCCUUUGGUUCGGAAUAGCCCCGGGAAACUGGGAGUAAUACCGGAUAAGCCCUGCGGGGGAAAGAUUUAUCGCCAAAGGAUCGGCCCGCGUUGGAUUAGGUAGUUGGUGAGGUAAUGGCUCACCAAGCCGACGAUCCAUAGCUGGUUUGAGAGGAUGAUCAGCCACACUGGGACUGCGACACGGCCCAGACUCCUACGGGAGGCAGCAGUGGGGAAUCUUAGACAAUGGGGGAAACCCUGAUCUAGCCAUGCCGCGUGAUCGAUGAAGGCCUUAGGGUUGUAAAGAUCUUUCAGUGGGGAAGAUAAUGACUGUACCCACAGAAGAAGCCCCGGCUAACUACGUGCCAGCAGCCGCGGUAA